UUGGGUGAGAUGUGUAAACUCCUCAUGUGC
Molecule: non-coding RNA, 30 nt
Filed under: Homo sapiens (human)
Lineage: Eukaryota; Metazoa; Chordata; Mammalia; Primates; Hominidae
Source: RNAcentral